This 1291-nucleotide long non-coding RNA is filed under the name Piliocolobus tephrosceles (Ugandan red Colobus). RNAcentral describes it as "lncRNA (ENSPTEG00000008963.1)". The record is from RNAcentral. Lineage: Eukaryota; Metazoa; Chordata; Mammalia; Primates; Cercopithecidae.
GUAAAAAAAAAAAAUAAAAUUACAACAUUUUCAAUGAUGUUUAAAAAAAAAUUAUUCUUAUAAGUACCAAAAGUUGUUGUUUUGAUCUGAAUGUUCAUAAAAAAAAGGAAACAACAACAAAAAAAAAAAAAAAAAAAAAAAAAAAUUAUAUAUAUAUAUAUAUAUAUAGUGUGUUAAGAAUGAUAAAAUCUUACACGAAUUAUUUAUAUAUUUAACUCAUUAAUAAAUACUAAAACAUACAACGUAAAGAUAAUUAAAAAUGUUCCUUUUUCAGAAUGUGUUUUUAUAGUAAUAAAGUUUAAUUUUAAUUAUAGUAAAAAGUAAACCACAAAAAAAAAAAAAAAAAAAAAAAAAAGCACAUACAUACAUAUAUACACGUGCUAAUACAAAUAUAUACUUACACAAACUAAACAAUUUCCUGUUUAAAACAAAAAAAAAAAAAAAAAUUUAUAAUAUUUAAUAAUUAUUUCUUUAACAAGCACGUUAUAAUAAAAAUCGAUUAUACACAAUCGCACUUACGCAUAUGGUACAUAUAAGUGUGUAUAUAUAUAUAACUAUGCGCGUGUUAUAUAUUUCACAUUAAAACAUAAACAAGGGGGUUAAAAAAGCAAGUAUUUCAAUAUUGUUCACUCAUUCAUUUAUUCCGUAUUACACAUGUAUUCACUAUUAAUAAAUAUAAUCACUGUUCAAAUUUUUUUUUUUUUUUUACAAUAUUAAUUAUUUUUAUACUAUUUUUAUACUAUUUUUUUUUUUUUUUUUUUUUUUUUUUUCUUUUUUUUAUGUUUUGUUUUUUUUUUUUUUUCCUUUUUUUUAAAUAGUAACUUUCACAUAUAUAUAUAUAUAUAUAUAUAUCGUGUGUUAAAAUAACACAAUAGUACGUCUGUGUGUACGUGUAUACGUGCAUACAUAUGUAUAUACAUUAAUUUGAAAUAUAAAACAAGUCAGUCAUCUCCUGGGUAUUUUUUUUUCUUUUCUUUUUUAGCAUGGUUUUUAUUUUUAUUUUCUAUUGUCAUUUUGUUAUUUGACGUAUAAUUAUUUUUUAUCGUAUUCUUGUUAUUAAACGGAUUACCAUACAGCUGUUGGUUCGUAUUUCUUUUUAUGUGUAGGUUUGACAUAUGGUCGUUGUAUGAAUUGUUAUCACUAAUGUUGUUGUACAUAUAAUUAUCAUUUGAGGAAAACCCGUUAUAAUUACUAUUACUACAACGGUUAUGACUGAUGUGAGUACUACUACGUCCACUAUGGUGAUGACCGCUGUUAGUAUGACCACUAUGGUGGUUCCCAGUAUGAGCAC